This 348-nucleotide unclassified non-coding RNA is filed under the name soil metagenome. RNAcentral's name for it is "partial contains 5.8S ribosomal RNA, internal transcribed spacer 2, and large subunit ribosomal RNA". The stretch from base 1 to 120 matches the Rfam family "5.8S ribosomal RNA", at positions 35 to 154 of the family's 154-position model. The record is from RNAcentral.
GAUGAAGAACCCAGCGAAAUGCGAUAAGUAAUGUGAAUUGCAGAAUUCAGUGAAUCAUCGAGUCUUUGAACGCACAUUGCGCCCCCUGGUAUUCCGGGGGGCAUGCCUGUCCGAGCGUCAUUGCUGCCCUCAAGCACGGCUUGUGUGUUGGGCCCCCGCCCCCCGGCUUCGGGGGGCGGGCCCGAAAGGCAGCGGCGGCACCGCGUCCGGUCCUCGAGCGUAUGGGGCUUCGUCACCCGCUCUGUAGGCCCGGCCGGCGCCCGCCGGCGACCCCAAUCAAUCUUUCCAGGUUGACCUCGGAUCAGGUAGGGAUACCCGCUGAACUUAAGCAUAUCAAUAAGCGGAGGA